This 1142-nucleotide ribosomal RNA is filed under the name Vibrio cholerae. Its description in RNAcentral is "partial 23S ribosomal RNA". It matches the Rfam family "Bacterial large subunit ribosomal RNA", at positions 1 to 1198 of the family's 2925-position model. Lineage: Bacteria; Pseudomonadati; Pseudomonadota; Gammaproteobacteria; Vibrionales; Vibrionaceae. The record is from RNAcentral.
GGUUAAGUGACUAAGCGUACACGGUGGAUGCCUGGGCAGUCAGAGGCGAUGAAGGACGUACUAACUUGCGAUAAGCGCAGAUAAGGCAGUAAGAGCCGUUUGAGUCUGCGAUUUCCGAAUGGGGAAACCCAACUGCAUAAGCAGUUACUGUUAACUGAAUACAUAGGUUAACAGAGCAAACCGGGGGAACUGAAACAUCUAAGUACCCCGAGGAGAAGAAAUCAACCGAGAUUCCGGUAGUAGCGGCGAGCGAACCUGGAUUAGCCCUUAAGCACUCGGUGAAGUAGGUGAACAAGCUGGAAAGCUUGGCGAUACAGGGUGAUAGCCCCGUAACCGACGCUUCAUCGAGCGUGAAAUCGAGUAGGGCGGGACACGUGAUAUCCUGUCUGAAUAUGGGGGGACCAUCCUCCAAGGCUAAAUACUCCUGACUGACCGAUAGUGAACCAGUACCGUGAGGGAAAGGCGAAAAGAACCCCUGUGAGGGGAGUGAAAUAGAACCUGAAACCGUGUACGUACAAGCAGUAGGAGCACCUUCGUGGUGUGACUGCGUACCUUUUGUAUAAUGGGUCAGCGACUUAUAUUCAGUGGCAAGGUUAACCGUAUAGGGGAGCCGUAGCGAAAGCGAGUCUUAACUGGGCGCUCAGUCUCUGGAUAUAGACCCGAAACCGGGUGAUCUAGCCAUGGGCAGGUUGAAGGUUGAGUAACAUCAACUGGAGGACCGAACCGACUAAUGUUGAAAAAUUAGCGGAUGACUUGUGGCUAGGGGUGAAAGGCCAAUCAAACUCGGAGAUAGCUGGUUCUCCCCGAAAGCUAUUUAGGUAGCGCCUCGGACGAAUACUACUGGGGGUAGAGCACUGUUAAGGCUAGGGGGUCAUCCCGACUUACCAACCCUUUGCAAACUCCGAAUACCAGUAAGUACUAUCCGGGAGACACACGGCGGGUGCUAACGUCCGUCGUGGAGAGGGAAACAACCCAGACCGCCAGCUAAGGUCCCAAAGUAUUGCUAAGUGGGAAACGAUGUGGGAAGGCUCAGACAGCUAGGAUGUUGGCUUAGAAGCAGCCAUCAUUUAAAGAAAGCGUAAUAGCUCACUAGUCGAGUCGGCCUGCGCGGAAGAUGUAACGGGGCUAAGCAAUACACCGAA